RNAcentral lists this ribosomal RNA (117 nucleotides) under Pogona vitticeps (central bearded dragon). The record is from RNAcentral. Lineage: Eukaryota; Metazoa; Chordata; Lepidosauria; Squamata; Agamidae.
ACUGAAAUCAUUUUGUCUUGGACACACCCAAUUAUACCUAUUUCAUAAGUUAAGCAGAGUCAGACCUGUUUAGUGCUUGGAUGGGAGAACAGUAGCUAAAACCAGUGAUAUGCAGGU